This 251-nucleotide ribosomal RNA is filed under the name uncultured bacterium. Its description in RNAcentral is "partial 16S ribosomal RNA". It matches the Rfam family "Bacterial small subunit ribosomal RNA", at positions 524 to 776 of the family's 1533-position model. The record is from RNAcentral.
UACGUAGGGUGCAAGCGUUGUCCGGAAUUAUUGGGCGUAAAGAGCUCGUAGGCGGUUUGUCGCGUCUGCUGUGAAAUCCCGAGGCUCAACCUCGGUCUGCAGUGGGUACGGGCAGACUAGAGUGUGGUAGGGGAGAUUGGAAUUCCUGGUGUAGCGGUGGAAUGCGCAGAUAUCAGGAGGAACACCGAUGGCGAAGGCAGAUCUCUGGGCCAUUACUGACGCUGAGGAGCGAAAGCAUGGGAGCGAACAGG